RNAcentral lists this ribosomal RNA (497 nucleotides) under uncultured bacterium. RNAcentral describes it as "partial 16S ribosomal RNA". It matches the Rfam family "Bacterial small subunit ribosomal RNA", at positions 28 to 507 of the family's 1533-position model. The record is from RNAcentral.
GAUGAACGCUGGCGGCGUGCCUAAUACAUGCAAGUCGAACGGAAGGACGAGAAGCUUGUGUCUUUGAUGUUAGCGGCGGGCGGGUGAGUAACGAGUGGAUCCCCUACCUCUAUUACGGGGAUGACUUCGGAACACCGGCGAUAAUACCAGAUAAUAUUUUCAACCGGAGGGUUCAGAAGUUAAUGAGGGUUUUGCUGUCACUUCUAGCUGAUUCCGCGUUGGAUUAGUUAGUUGGUAGGGUAACGGCCUACCGAGGCGACGAUGCGUAGCCGACCUGAGAGGGUGAUCGGCCACACUGGAACUGAGACACGGUCCAGACUACUACGGGAGGCAGCAGUAGGGAAUGUUGGGCAAUGGGCGAAAGCCUGACGCAGCAACACCGCGUGAGUGAUGAAGGCCUUCGGAUUGUAAAGCCCUGUUAUUGGGGAAGAACAGCUGUGGAAUUAAACGAGGAUAUUCUGACGGUACCUAAAGAAGAAGCACCGGCUAACUACGUG